UACGUAGGGUGCAAGCGUUAAUCGGAAUUACUGGGCGUAAAGCGUGCGCAGGCGGUGAUGUAAGACAGGUGUGAAAUCCCCGGGCUUAACCUGGGAACUGCAUUUGUGACUGCAUCGCUGGAGUGCGGGCAGAGGGGGAUGGAAUUCCGCGUGUAGCAGUGAAAUGCGUAGAUAUGCGGAGGAACACCGAUGGCGAAGGCAAUCCCCUGGGCCUGCACUGACGCUCAUGCACGAAAGCGUGGGGAGCAAACAGG
This 254-nucleotide ribosomal RNA is filed under the name uncultured bacterium. RNAcentral's name for it is "partial 16S ribosomal RNA". It matches the Rfam family "Bacterial small subunit ribosomal RNA", at positions 524 to 776 of the family's 1533-position model. The record is from RNAcentral.